This 8388-nucleotide long non-coding RNA is filed under the name Lactuca sativa (garden lettuce). Its description in RNAcentral is "long non-coding RNA (LSAT_LNC005093)". Lineage: Eukaryota; Viridiplantae; Streptophyta; Magnoliopsida; Asterales; Asteraceae. The record is from RNAcentral.
GUCAAUAAUUAAUUAAGAAUUAAUUUUGUGAUCAAGUGUAAUUAAUUAAACUAGAGGGGCUGAAUUGUAAUUAUGUGAUAGUUACAAAAUAAGGUAAGGAUUAUCUUAUAUAUAUGGUGAACGAAUUUGAGGUGUAAAUCCCUUAGAAUUCGACUAGGAUAAGGGUUUCUAGGACUUAUCUUAUGGUUGCUUGGUGGACAAGCAACUAGAUAAGGAUAAGGACUAAAACCCUAAUCUUUACACCUAUAUAAACCCCCUAAGGCAUAGGAAUUCGUCUAACCCUUCCCAAGAGGUCCUAAGGACGAAUUCUAACCUCCCUCCUCUCUCUUUAUACCUUCUCCACUUGCUUAUGGUGUUUGUAAGCCAUUAGAGGAGUGACACUUGUGACUCUCAGCCUUCCAAAGUCAAUUCAAGGAGGAAUUGGGAUUGUUAUUGCUACAUAACAAUCAAGGUAAUAUCAUAAACCUAAUUAUAUGUUAAUAUUGAUUUCCAUAUGCUAGAAUUAGGGUUUAUAGUCUUGGAUUCAAAGCAUGUACAAUAGAGAAACCUAGAUCCAAGCAUUAGGGUUUGUAUGAGCACAUAGGAUGUCUUAUGACCAAAACCCAUCAGUGGUAUCAGAGCCUAGAUUGGUUUCUAUUGUAUUGAUGCUUGAUAUGUUUGAAAAUUUCGAAUUUUGUGUUUCUGGAGGCUGGACUCGCCGAGUCCAUAGAUGAACUCGCCGAGUCCAAGGUGACUCGACGAGUCCAAGCCUGACUCGACGAGUCAACUCGUCAGAUGGAGGGUACUUCGCGAUUUCUUGCUGUUUUUGCUUAUGGAUAGUUACCUUAUCAUGUUAGAUCAAUAUUAAUCCGAUUAUAUGAUAUAUUUGACUAUAUUUUUGAUCUAAUUGAAGAUAUUUAUCAAUUAAUAAGAUAAUUGUUUCCUUAUAAGAUAAUUGAUUAAUUAUUUUGAGUAAAUUGAUAAAUUGUUUUGCAAGAAAUCAUUAAAUAAAUCAAAUAUGGAUAAUUAUGUGAUUAAAUGUUAAUUUGAAUUAUUUGUUAUUUGAUCCUUGUUGUUAUGAAAAGUUUCAUAUUUUGCCCUUUAGGUUUUAUAGUUUAAAUUUGAACCCAAAAGUUUUGUUGUUUUGAAAUUUAAAUAGUUGAAACCCUAAUGUUUUGAAAAAGGUUUCAAAACUUGCCCUCAAGUUUUGGAAUUUAAAUUUUGAUUAAAUGGUUUAAUUUUGAUGUAUAUUUAAAUUCUAAACCCUAAUGUGUUGAAAUGUUUCAAAACUUGCCCUCAAGUUUUGGAAUUUAAAAGUUGAUUAAAAGUUUAAUUAGGAAUGUUAAAUUCUAAAACUCUAGUAUAGUUUUGAAAAAGUUCAAAUCACACCCUUAUGGUUUUAUUAAUUAAUUAAGGUGUAUAAUUAAAAGAGGUUUAAUAAAUCCAUAAAAGUUUAGGUUUACAAUUUAAUUGAAUUAAAAGUAUAAUUGUUAAAUUAGACCACCUAGUAUUUUAAAAGUAUAAAAUACACCCUAUACUAUAUAUAACAUUAAAAGUCUAACAUUAUAUAUAUGUAUGAGUAAAAGUCAGUCUUACCGUUAGUAGGCCUCAUUCACGAAGCUGGUCUAUAAGGGGUGUUUAAGGAAAUUGCCUAUAAAAUGGCGAUUGAAUGGGUAUCCACUCUUACCCACCGCACUCUUGACUAGUGGAGGGUCGUUAGCCGAACGGGUAGGAUAGGACGAAACCUUCCAUUAUAAGUAUAAUGAAUUAUUAAAGUAACUAAAUGUUUUCAUAAAAUUCCCAAUCUUAGUUACUUAGGCAAAAGUGAAUUGAUGCAAUUCCAUGAAAUUACACUUUGUGCCCUUGCGAAGACGUUAGUGGAGCGUGUGUGGUUUACCGGCACACUAAAUGGUUCUAAGCAAAGGUAGCAAAGGGUGACUCAAUGUUUGUCAUAGUUCGGUGGAGCGUGUGUGGUUUACCGGCACAUCGAAUAGGUGACUGUAACAUGUGAGGGCACCAUGUAAGUUUGCAUGGUUAUUCACACCCGCUUUGUGAUCCUCGGCAUCCCAGUCACAAACAAGAGGGGCAUAUCGAGAUUUAAACAUGCCAUUGAAAGUUCAAUGAAUCUCAAAGGAUCUAGGAGUUUUCAUAGAUUUAAAACUUAAAUUUCUUUUUCGUUUUUCAUGGUGGAAAUUAGUGAAUCGUCAUUCACUUACCUUCAAAUAUUCUGCAAUUAGGGUUACGGCAUCCCUCUCCCGAGUUGUAGAAUAUUGUGUUGGGUCCUAGCCUUAGUAUCUCAUUUGGGUGAUUUACUAAGGACUCAAUCAAUCAACUAACUUGAAUUCGUUUUCUCCCGUUUUGUAGAUGUCAAAGUUCGACAACUAUGGUCUUCCCAAAUCCCGUGGAACAAGCAUUCCACAUGAAGAUGAUAUUCCACGAUUCGAUCGAGGAACAAGAAAUCAUGCUUCACUUCCUCCUCCUCCUCCAAUUAUUCUCCCUAACCCACAAGUUCAAAGGCUUGAAAAGUUCAAGAUCACUCAAGCCCUUUUGGCAAGUAAACAUAAAGAAGGAAAGUCGGUGUGUGCACACGUCCUAGGGAUGAAGUCACACAUUGAUAGGUUAAGAAUGUUGGGAUCCGUUGUCUGUGAGGAAAUGGCUGUUGAUUGGGUUCUUCAGUCACUUCCUAACUCAUAUAGUGAGUUCGUAAGAGAGUACUAUAUGAUGAACCGCGACGUGACCCUUAUAGAUCUCACCUAUAUGCUUAUUGCUGCUGAAUCAGCAAUGGUUUGGCGCAAUAGAAAAGCAAAGUUGAUUGGUGAAUCUGCCUUCAAGACCUCUAUGGAUAUAGACAAUGGCAACGAAAGACAUGCUAUGAUCGAAAAGUUUGAUCAUAAGAGAAAGGCAAUGUCUGAAGUAGUUCCAUGUCAUGUUCCAAAAGAGUCAAUUUGCUUUUAUUGCCAAGAGAAAGGGCAUUGGAGACGAAGCUGCCCCAUUUACCUAAGAGAUCUAAGAGAUGGGAGAGUCGAAACGUAUGGCUCUAAUAUAGGUAAAAUCCAUUAACUAACUCUUUUAAGCUUCUAUUCUAGAUUCUUAAUACAUAAUGUGAUAAGAUUACAAUUGAUGUUUUGUAGGAUCGAAGAAAAGAAAGGAAGCUUAAGGGAAGAAGUGAGCAGAAUCUAACCGUGAAGGAAUGGAUUUCGAUCGCAUUUCUCGAAGAUUAGAUUCUUGAGCUACUACUUAGAGUUAGAAUUAGAUUGCUAAGAAAGAUGUAUUAGCAUAGUUUUUCAAUGAAUUGCAUUGUAAGGACAAAUUUUUUCCGCAAUAAAAUAAAUUUUGAUUUUAUAUUAUUUAUUUAUCCUUGCAAUGGCGUAUAUGAAAAAUUGAUGUUUGAAUGUUUCUAUUAUUAGCAAUAAUGGAUUUGGUUCUUAUUAUGUUAUUUAUGGAAAGUCGAGAAUUUACCAAAUAGGGAGAGUUUCUCAUCGCCCAAGUUUCAAUUGGACAGAAACUUGGAAUCAUGCAACUUGGUUGCACGAUGAAUGAGAAAUUUCAUAUUUGGAAAUUAGACUAAUUCAUUGACAAAGUGUCAAGUGAAGGACUAGGAGAUCGAGUACACAAAGUUGCGUGUUGAUCAAGUCCACCAUAAGAGUAACAAAGAUAUUCGUCAUGAUUUACUAAAGGUUUAGUAAAUAUGAUUAUACUUAUAAGAUUAAGUGUAAUUCUGAAUUGAUUGAAAAAGUUUAAAUCAAUAGCAGAACGAAUAAGAAGAAUCAAGUAGGCAGAAAGAUAAAAGUUUCUCCAUUCUAAGAAGAAGGGAGAGUACCUUUUAUGCUUUAUGAUAGGUCUUAAUGAUUAAGAACCAUAUCUCAAUUGAUCCUCUAAGUGAGUCUUAGUACAAUUGUAUGUCUAAGAAGAGGAAUCAAGAAUUGAAGAAAUGGUUAAAUCAAGAAGUCAAUCAUACUUCGUUCCAAAACAAGUCUUAGAGUUAAGAUUGUGACAUUGAGUGAUAAGUAUUAAGAAGGUUUAUAACAUUCAUCAAAUGUGGAAAGUUGUGAUGUCUUGGAUAAGACAAAGACCAACUAGGACCAAUUUAUGAAGUGUUUUGAUAAAAGCUACACUAACUCUUGAAUAUUUGUUUGUCAAGAAAUGUUUAUUGACAAGAGAAUCUUAUAUGUCAAGGAGUCAGUGGGAGUCUUAAUGGUCUUGAAAGGUUUCAAGAACAAAUCAAAUAAACCUUAUCGAUCAUCACUAGCACACGAGUUGAGGUUUACAACCUAUCGUGUUGACAUUAUUUUGUUUCUGUGCCAAUCCAAUCGAGUUAAUUAUGCAUGUGAGUUCUAUGAGUUCUCAUUUUGAACGCAUAAAAGGCAAAGCACCUUAAUCAAUGAAAGGUACAUUGAUAGGAAAGGGUGAGCUGCUUAACUACUUGGAAGACAUGGUGGGCAGCUGUGCUACCAUAAGGCAAGAAAUCAAGAUUAAGAAAGUUCGGUCCAUAUGAGUUUGAAUUUGUCGUAAACUUUGGUUUUAACAAAUUCACAUGGAUAGGAACACAUACACCGUUUAAAUCUAAGUGUCAUAAGAUUUCCUCCUUCAUGAAAAUGAUUGUGAGGAAAUGCUUUCACUAAGAAAGAUUUUAAGAAGAUAGUGAUUGUAAAAUUGCAUUCUCGAAUUCGAUUAUGGUUACGGUAUCCCUUUCCAUAAUUUGAAUUGUGAGGUUUGGCAAUUAGUCUUAAUUGUUUAGACACACAUAUGAACUAUCGAAGGCAAAGGUGUAUAAGUUCAAGAAGCCUUGAUAAAAGAUUAUCAAAGCACUAAGUAUUAGAAACAUGAACUUAAGAAAUUCAAUAAGUAUUGUUUUUCUGAAAGUUAAGAUGUUUAUGAAUACAUGUCGAAGCUAGUGGGAGCAUAAGUGUUAUGUUUUAUAAUAAUCAUCAUGAUAGUGGGAGCAUAAAUGUUAUGAUUGUAUGAUUAUUAAGGAAAGUAUUGCAAGUUGGCAAUAUUAAUUAUAGAAAACAAGAGUCAUACUUUGCAAAGUUGUAAGGGUUGAAAGGUUGUUUUGCUAUAAUUAAGGGAGAGAAUAUUAUGCUUCAUUUCAAAUCUAAAGGAUUAGGUUGAGAAAUGUUAAUAAAUUUAGUCAAAGGUACAUAGUGUGUUCUUAAAAUUUCGAUUAUGAUUACGGCAUCCCUCUUCACAAUUCGAAUUUUGAGAACAUAGCAAAUAAAACAUUAUGCGUCGUGUCCCAUACGCUUCGGGUAUAGGAUCGAUUGCAAAUGCUUUAAUGUUUGACCAUUCUAAAAUUUUCCAAAUGUCGAGCGCAUUUAGAGGGAAAAGGGACUAGAAUUGGUUUUGACUAAAAUAAUUAAACAACUAUCAAAGGACAAUCCAAAGUUCGACGAGGAUUGGUCGCUUGUGAGUAGUUGGAAGUAUGGUAUUGGAAAAUAUGGAAAUGUUUCCAUAUUGGAUGGACCAUAUCGACAUCAUUACGAAUAGAUAAGAUUCUAUUAAGAAUGAGUUGUCAUAUGGAACAUAUGGAAGUGUGUCCAUAUUGGGAAUUGAAUAUUGAGAAAUCUAUGACUAGAUUAGAAACUUCUAUGCAAAAGGAUGUUCAAAGAAUGUACUUUGAGUGAGAGACAUCACGUCUAUGGAAUUGUCUUGUAACAAUCUCCGAUAGAGGACUUUGUAAUAUCAUUGGCAAUAGUCUUUGUGACUUUGGUGCAGUGACAUUACGAAAGGAUAGUUGCAUAGAAUGUUAGAAUCUAGCAUAUUCUAUAAGUAGCAAGAAUUUGAUAUUCUUUGACUUAUGAAAAACGGAUUUGGAGUUGUGAAAUGAGAAGGAUUGGAAAUGUGUUCAAUGUGAUCUAUUUCACAAAGUAAGAACCAUAGGUAAACAUUGUGUGCAUGCUAGGAGCAUGGGACAAGUGUUGGAAUUCAAGUAAGAAGUUGAUUACCCGAAACGACAAAUAAUGAGUAAUCAAUAUGGUGAUAAAUAAAAGGUGUUUUAUUUAUACUCAAAGGUUUGAGGCCAUAUGGGAUUAGUAUUAUUCUUGUGUUUCACAUUUGCAUGUUUUGACUUCCAGAAUAAUUGAGUUUAUUAAGAAUAAUCGAAUUAUUCAAACGGGCCACAGUCGUUCAUAUGUUGGAAGUAGAUAUGAAUGAAGACUGUCGUGAAUUGGUGUGUGGAUUGUCUAAAAGAGUAUUAGACAUAAGCAAAUGUUUGCUGCAACGUUCAUGAGUGCUUAUGAAUAUGAUUUGAGCAUUGGAUUAAACCCACGCUCACUUGGAUCACUCCAUGAAUUGUAUCACGAGUGAUUGGUGAGACGAUAACAUCUUAUAUUCUUGAAACCGAGAUGUGUGAGUUGUAUCUUGCAAAUCGGUUGCACAUUGAUAAUAUGUAAACGCACUAGUAACUUGGUGUUAUAAAACAUAUUGUUGUGUGUGAUUCGGUGAGUGAGUGCAAGCAAGCAUUGUAUCAAAGUUUAUCCGUUCCUUUUAUCCAAAGUAGGAUAAAAGCGAUAUCUUUGGGCCCCUCGAUGGUUUAGUGAUGACAAACGUAAAUGCUCGGCCGGGCUAGGGCUAAUUUGAUUUGUUCAAUUAGUCAGUCGUCAUAAAUCGGAAAUCGAGAUAUAGUACAAAGAGAAUGAUUUGAAAUCAUAUCUCAUAUGAUAUCUAGAAUGGAGGAAUAUAUGAUCCCUUAUCUAAGGACACGCGUAUCUGAUAUGAUCAGAGUUGACAGCGGCUUUGGAAAGCUACGAUUGCAGAUCGGGAUCCGAAGUCAUACGCAGAAUAGUUGUUAGACUUAUCCAAGUGGGAGACUGUUGGAUUAGUGUCUAAGUCCAUAACUAUUUUGGUAUGUACUUGACCCGAUGGUGCAUGGUCCUUUUGGGUUGCCUUCACCAAAGCAACUUGAUUGGAGAAAUAAAUAGAGAGAGAGGUUAUUAUGAUUUAUUAAUAUGUUAUAAGAAUAAUAUAUUAAAGGAGAAAUCAUAUUUGUUUAAUUAAUAUUGGUCAAUAAUUAAUUAAGAAUUAAUUUUGUGAUCAAGUGUAAUUAAUUAAACUAGAGGGGCUGAAUUGUAAUUAUGUGAUAGUUACAAAAUAAGGUAAGGAUUAUCUUAUAUAUAUGGUGAACGAAUUUGAGGUGUAAAUCCCUUAGAAUUUGACUAGGAUAAGGAUUUCUAGGACUUAUCUUAUGGUUGCUUGGUGGACAAGCAACUAGAUAAGGAUAAGGACUAAAACCCUAAUCUUUACACCUAUAUAAACCCCCUAAGGCAUAGGAAUUCGUCUAACCCUUCCCAAGAGGUCCUAAGGACGAAUUCUAACCUCCCUCCUCUCUCUUUAUACCUUCUCCACUUGCUUAUGGUGUUUGUAAGCCAUUAGAGGAGUGACACUUGUGACUCUCAGCCUUCCAAGGUCAAUUCAAGGAGGAAUUGGAUUGUUAUUGCUAUAUAACAAUCAAGGUAUGUUCUUAAACCUAAUUACAUGUGAAUUAUGAUUUCCAUAUGCUAGAAUUAGGGUUUAUAGUCUUGGAUUCAAAGCAUGUACAAUAGAGAAACCUAGAUCCAAGCAUUAGGGUUUGUAUGAGCACAUAGGAUGUCUUAUGACCAAAACCCAUCAAAAAGAAGUAUGGAGGCAAGUCAGGGAGGAAGCAGAAAGCCUCAAGAAACUUUAUGGUAAGAGCCCAAGAGCAAGAACCAGUGAAAACUCAGGAACAGGAAGUCAUGGAAGUGCAGGAGCGAAAGAAGUACUCAGGACCGCUUCCGAAGUGCAAUAAGUGUAACUUCCAUCACAAGGGAGCUUGCCCAGUGUGCCAAAACUGUAAAAAAAUAGGUCAUUACUCGAAGUAUUGUAAGCUGAAUAAGGAGGGGAAAAGGGCAUGUUACGAGUGCGGGAGUACUGAUCAUCUCCGUAGAGUAUGUCCCAAACUGAACAAGGGGCCUGGUAACAAUGGACAAGGCCAAGCCAGGCAAAACUUCCAAGGAAAUCAAGGUGGGUGGCCAAGAGGUGUAGCCUUUGUCAUUGGUGCAGAAAAAGCUCGUCAGAACCCUUAAGUGAUAACAGGUACGUUUCUCCUGAACAACCAUUUUGCAUCAGUAAUAUUCGAUGCGGGAGCAGAUAGGAGUUUUGUUUCUUUAGCAUUUAGACCGUUAAUUGGACUGAAAUCGAGAAAGAUGAGGAAUGCUUAUGCUAUUGAACUUGUUGAUGGGUAUGAAAUUAGGGCUAGUGAUAUAAUUCCUGGUUGUACUUUGAAUUUAGCUGAUAAACUCUUUAGCAUUGACCUAAUUCCUAUAGAGCUAGGUAGUUUUGAUGUGAUAGUAGGGAUGGAUUGGUUAUCCAAAAAUAGAGCGGACAUUGGUUGUUAUGAGAAAGUCAUUAGAGUGCCUCUCCCUAAUGGAGAAACCCUUAUCAUACACGGUG